This 253-nucleotide ribosomal RNA is filed under the name uncultured bacterium. RNAcentral's name for it is "partial 16S ribosomal RNA". It matches the Rfam family "Bacterial small subunit ribosomal RNA", at positions 524 to 776 of the family's 1533-position model. The record is from RNAcentral.
UACAGAGGUCCCAAGCGUUGUUCGGAUUUACUGGGCGUAAAGGGAGCGUAGGUGGCAUUCUAAGUCUGAUGUGAAAGCUCUGAGCUUAACUCAGAAAUGGCAUUAGAAACUAGUUUGCUUGAGGAUUGGAGGGGAGAUUGGAAUUCUUGGUGUAGCAGUGAAAUGCGUAGAUAUCAAGAGGAACACCAGUGGCGAAAGCGAAUCUCUGGACAAUUCCUGACACUGAUGCUCGAAAGCUAGGGGAGCAAACGGG